UAAAGCUUUCCCUCAUGCAAUAUGUACCAGGUGGCGGAGCGCUUUAUUCGGCGAGCCUCUCGUUCAUCACUGGGGAGGACUUCAUCUUGCAGAUAGCUGAUGAGCUCGUCCAUCCAGCUUGGCUCAAACUCAAUAAAAAGGGCCUGCUCGGGCUCCUCCGUACUGGAUUUUUGGAGAUACUCCAGUGCCGUCAUUUUGGGGAGCUCGCUCAUGCGAGAGGACGCCAGCUUUGACAGCUGGUCAGCCCUAAGAUUCUCCGACCUGGCAAAAUGUUGGAUAUGGAAAGAAUUCAAGGUCGAGGCGAGAUCCCAUACCUUCUGAAGAUAUUUCUGCAUUGUGGGGUCUCUGGC
RNAcentral lists this long non-coding RNA (350 nucleotides) under Phoenix dactylifera (date palm). RNAcentral's name for it is "long non-coding RNA (PDAC_LNC014107)". Lineage: Eukaryota; Viridiplantae; Streptophyta; Magnoliopsida; Arecales; Arecaceae. The record is from RNAcentral.